RNAcentral lists this ribosomal RNA (293 nucleotides) under uncultured bacterium. RNAcentral's name for it is "partial 16S ribosomal RNA". It matches the Rfam family "Bacterial small subunit ribosomal RNA", at positions 338 to 646 of the family's 1533-position model. The record is from RNAcentral.
CCUACGGGGGGCAGCAGUGGGGAAUAUUGGGCAAUGGGGGAAACCCUGACCCAGCAACGCCGCGUGAGGGAAGAAGGUUUUCGGAUCGUAAACCUCUGUCCUUGGUGAAGAGAAGAAGACGGUAGCCAAGGAGGAAGCCCCGGCUAACUACGUGCCAGCAGCCGCGGUAAUACGUAGGGGGCAAGCGUUAUCCGGAAUUACUGGGUGUAAAGGGAGCGUAGACGGCUGUGCAAGUCUGGAGUGAAAGGCGGGGGCCCAACCCCCGGACUGCUCUGGGAACUGUAUGGCUGGAG